UGAGUAACCCGCCCUUAACUCUGGGAUAAGCCUGGGAAACUGGGUCUAAUACCGGAUAUGACUCCUCAUCGCAUGGUGGGGGGUGGAAAGCUUUAUUGUGGUUUUGGAUGGACUCGCGGCCUAUCAGCUAGUUGGUGUGGGUAAUGGCCCACCAAGGCGACGACGGGUAGCCGGCCUGAGAGGGUGACCGGCCACACUGGGACUGAGACACGGCCCAGACUCCUACGGGAGGCAG
RNAcentral lists this ribosomal RNA (235 nucleotides) under uncultured bacterium. RNAcentral's name for it is "partial 16S ribosomal RNA". It matches the Rfam family "Bacterial small subunit ribosomal RNA", at positions 118 to 351 of the family's 1533-position model. The record is from RNAcentral.